Non-coding RNA from Mycena galericulata, 88 nucleotides. NCBI's taxonomy places the organism in Eukaryota, Fungi, Basidiomycota, Agaricomycetes, Agaricales, Mycenaceae. The record is from the annotation of a GenBank genome assembly.
UCGGAUGUGGUGUACAGUGCACGUCUGUUUAGAUUAUGCAGUGAGCAACUACAAGCAGGAAGCCCGGGUUCGACUCCCGGCGUCCGAA